CCGAAUCUUGCGACUUUCUCCUUGUCGUACACCACCGGAGAGCCGCCGCGGAUCAUCUCCGGGAGCUUGAACACGACUUGCUGGUCCGGUAUAACCACGAAGUUCUCCGUUAUCGCGAAGUCGUGCAUCAUUGUCGGCUGAUCGAGGUUGAUCUCGACGUCCGGCGAUUUUACCCCGUCCGGUGAGAAUCUGAAGUACUUUAAGUAAGGCUUCGAAACGACGUCGUAGCUUAGAGCGAAUAGCUCCCCGGAUUCCGGGUCGACUUUCGGGUGGGCGAUCAUUGUGGAUUCUAACUGUCCGUUGAAAUCGUAACGGCCAACGGUUUUCAAGUCUCCACUUGGAGUGAUCCUGACUUGGUAAGGCAAAUCGUCCUCCGACAUCGCUAAUAACCGGUUGUUGAAAUAGACUAAACCGGCGUUAGCUACUCCGGUUCCGUGCGCCGGGUCAACUAAACCGGCUGCAGCUCUGGAGUAGAAUAGCAUAAGUCGGGCGAUACCGGUGUGACCGUGAAGCUCGCCGAUGGCUUUGGGGAAAACAGGUCGGCCCAAUUGUCGCUCUUGGAUAAACCGGUUUGUUUGAGUAAACCGGCAAGCGUAGCUAGCUGAACCGUCUUCGAAUUUGACGGCGUGGACCAUCCCGUCUCCGUCGAAGAAGUGGUGACCAGUCACCGGCUCGUGAAGAGGGUUAGCUCCGUUGCGCACGUACACUCCUUUGAUGGAAUCCGGUAUUUUCCCGACCACCGGAAGAUUAUGUCGGACGGGCUGUUCAUUCACUGGAGCGAAGUUUCCGGCGAUUUGAACGCUAGGGUCGGCGGUUUUAGGGAGUGGAUGCUGUCGCUCGUGGCUCACGAGGAGCCCCUCCGUCGCGUCCAACGCCGCGGCAGCUGCUCUCUGGAACAAGUUCAUUUGUUUAGUAUCGGGUUCUUUAGCUUUGGGGUUAACAACAAUGGCUGGAGAGUUGGUGGGUUGCUUGGGGAAAUGGAGAGCAGGAGGUGUGUGAAGCGCGGAGGAAACGUUGAGCUUUCGUUGGACACGACUUGUCAUGGGUAUGGAGCUUUGAGGAGACGAUAAUGGAGGCUGAGUAUGAUUGCCACCGACCCAUCUCCGAGAAACCGCCGCAGUCGCCGUGAAAGAAGACAUUUUUGAAGUAUGUGUAGUCAGUAUUGUUGCUUCAAAGUGAGAGCUCGAUUUUGAGAUAGUUAAAGGCUGUUUUUGUUUUUGCUUCUUUGUUGAAAUGGAGAAGAGAAGAGAGAGUUGGUUUGAGAGCGAUGAAGUGCUGCUAAGGGUUUAUAUAAACCGGGAGAAGGGAAUGGUGGGUUGCCACGUGUUGAAUCAUUGACAUUGACAAGAAUGGAAUGAGUAGGUAUUUAGAGAGAGAAACAGAGUAAUAUGUUUUGGUUCAAAGUUUAGACAAAUGCAUCCACUUCAAUCUUUAACCCACUUUGUCUUUUUAUUUUUUGUGGCUUCUUGCUUCUAAGUUUGUUAACAAAAGCUAUCAAUCUUUGGCAGCUUGAAUAUGCAUUGGUCCUGAAAAAAACCUCUAAUCUUGUACAAUGUUUGGAUUGAUGGUUCGAUAACAUCAGGUUGUAUAUUGUCAUGCCAAAAACAAAUUUAAGUGUAUAUAAACUUUUCUAACUGGAAGGUAUUGUAGGAAAUAGUUUGUCCAUUUAAAUUAGUGUGCGAACAAUUUCUAAACUUUCAGAAAUUCAUAAGGUAUUGUAGGAAAUAGUUUGUCCAUUUAAAUUAGUGUGCGAACAAUUUCUAAACUUUCAGAAAUUCAUCUACAUAUCAAUGAAUAAGAGGGAUAUGUUUUGUUGUUCAAAAAAAUAAGAUAGAUGUUUUAGAAAAUAUUAAAUCCAGAGCAGGGUCGGCUCAAGAGGGAGGGCCAGCAGUGGAAUGGUCUAGAGCCAGCAGUGCAAUGGCCCAAGGCCCAUUUCAAAAUCAAACAAAUUUAGCUAUAGAAAAUAUCCAAAUUUUUUUUUGGUUUUCAAGCAAGGGCCCAAAAAUAUUAUUUUUAAUCGUUUAUAAUGAAUUAAAAUAAAUUGCCCAAGGAACCACUCAAUGUUUAAGCCGGUUUUGACCCAAAGUCAUUUUCCUACUUUAUUAUUAAACUAUAAGACAGUUCUUGCUAUUAAGGUAGUUUUAUUUAACCAAAUUCACUUUCUAGCUAAAGUCUAACUAAAUAAACAUGUAACCAGGUUUGAAAUUGCGCUAGGCAUAACGCGUGCGACCGGUAUGGGCCUAGCGAGUUGAGAAAAAAUCGGAAACUAUUCGGGGAUUAAUUUUACAAUGUUUUCCUAUAUAUAUAAUUAUCUGAAUCAAAAACAUAUGAAAGCAGUGUUGUCUAGUGGCUAGAUUGUUAUAAUUUAUGUUGGAGGUCGUGGGUUCGAACUAAAAUAACAGUUCGUCCUUUGUCUACAGAUCUGAAAAAUCAGAACUUUCGUCUUAGACUUUUUUUUUCAUGACAGUUGGCCGUUUGACUUGUUUUAUUUAUGUUUUCACUCAUUAAUAACAUAACUUGAAAUAGAUACGAUUUUAAACUUUCAUAAUAAAUUUUGAAUUUUUGUAAAAGAAUAUCCGAUUUUUUCUAACGAUUUGUAGAAAACGCCACGGUCUAGGAACGAGUUACGUUUAAUCGCUGCAUAAACGGUCAACGCGGCAGCGUUUUAGAACCUGGCAUGUAACCAAGUGUCAUACACUAAUUAAAUUUAACACAAAAAUAAAAUAAAACAACGACAUGGACCAAUGUAACAAACUUGAACAUAUUAGAAAUUUGAGACAAAAUAAAAAAUAAUCAAGAGCUGAAGGACUAAAUGUAUAAAUAAUCAAAAGUUGACCAUUGUUGUCCCAGUGAAGCUUUCUCUUCCAUCUACGACUGAAGCGAUGAUGAUUUCGGCGGCCACAACUCUGGUCCCGAAUAUGACGACCACAGCGACGAGGAGACAACUUAACCUUGACGCGGAUUGCGGUAGAGCUCUGUCGGAAUAAAGCUUGCGGUUUGACGUCACUGCAAACGGAGCUAUCCGACUGCUCUGUCACAUUUUGCUUUCUCAAUCGAUAAUAGAGCUCUCGGCCACUUGCGAUGAUGCCAUUUCCCUCGCUGUCGCUUUCAUCGUGAGGUUGAGCCAAUGUUGUAGUCUGCUAAAAAAAUAAUGAAGAAUAUGAUAUUAAUGUGUGAGUCCUACUAAUUAAAGCCAUUAUUUUUAGAUUUCUUUUGAAAUUUCUCUGCUAUUAAAAUUAUUUAUCUGUUACGGCGAGAAGAAAAAUAAGAUUAAAAAUUAUGGGGACCAUUAUGUUAGAAAAAUGAGCUUAAUUAGUUUGCAGUCACAAAAAAAAACUACCGUAUGAGUAAUAACUGGCAUAUAGUGUAAUAAAAAGUCAUAAAGCGUCGUAUAGUGUAAUCAUUCUAUGUUUUAUAUGUUAACAAAAAUAUGUAUAUUUUUAUUGGUAAAUGAUGUUUCAUUAAAUUACCAUCGCCAACUUGGCUUAUGCUGUGGCUCAAGAGCUUCUUGUUUGAGAAGUCCAAACUUGGCGUAUUCUUCUCCACAUGAAAAUAUCUCAGAGCUUUACAUUUUCAUGUUCAUGAUUGAUACGGCCCACUGGUGCAAGUGUUUGUGUCCGUACAAGAGGUUAUAUAUUUAAUUCUCCGACCGUUCUGAAGUGUACGGACACGACCAAGCAAUCGAACGUUCCUUGAUCUCAUAUUUUACCCUAAUAUCAAUUAUUAUGUAAGAGAAAAUGUGUACAAACGAAAUAUCAAGCAAUAAGAAGAAGGAAAUAUCAAGCAAUAAGAAGAAGGAAAAUGAUUGAAUAGAAGAUUUCAUAAAUAUCCGGCUCUCACUUAACAAGUCUGAAGCUAAAAGAAAUUUUUUGAGCAUUUACAGUAUAUUUCAAGUCUGAAGUUGAGUCUCAUCUCUAGCUACUCUACCCAUUUAUAGUGAAAAUAAAGUAAUAUAUAUUAAAAUUUUAUUACUUUAUUUACGCAGUAAUCUUAUAUUUUAGUCUGUUAUGAAGUAAAAAUAGAAUAGGAUUAGAGAAUAUUUUACUGUAAACUUUUUUUUUUAAGAAAAAAAUGGAGAAUAGUUGGAUAUGUUCUUAAGAUACAAAUAUCAAACGUACGUAAAUUAACCUUACCAACCCCAUAUGUAUAGCUCUAUGUUUACCCAAAUGAAAAUAUGGUCCACUAGUUAGUAGCUCAUUUAGUUGUCUAAUUGUCCUUGAAACUAGUUACCCAAAAAAUCAUAACUUAUAGAAACGAACAAAUCGUUAAUUGAACACUAAUACCCUACGCAUGCAAUUUUUAUAAUUAAGUCGGUGUGUUACAUCAUAUGACUUUCUCUCUAAGAUAUUUACUUUGAAUUGUCUGAAAUGAUACUCUUUUACAAAAAUCACUUAUAUCUUAGUUGACGAGAUCUGCAGAGAUGUUUGACCACUCCUUUUUCUAUUGGGUCAACAUUCAAACAGAGAUUCGUACGAUUAUGUUUGUUCUUUGUCACAGCUUCUUACACUUAUGUUUAAUUAAAUGUGCCAACACAGCAAAUGAUAACCGAUAUUUUUUUUAAAAUGUUCAUUUUAAAUAUAUUUAUUUUUAUAUUUAAUAUGUUAUUUAUGCCAGUAUUUAAAAAUCAAAACUUAGAAGAUUUCAGGUGUAAUUAUAUUUUCUUCUAAAAUAAAAACUAUAAUAUGGAUAUCAUUUUAUUACAAUGUAUACCUUUAUAAUAUGUAAAGAGAUCAACUUUGGCGAAGCCAGAGACUUUAGGCCACGGCUCGGCUAAGGCGAGGUAAGCGAACCUGGUCUUACGGCCGAGCAUGUUCCGGUUAACCAUCCCUGCUUCGAGGUUGACUUGCUCCUCUCCGUCGGAGAUGAUCGGCCGGCGAGUGGACUCACCGGUUCUGAGGUUCAGGCGUAUCUCGGAGAGGACGCUCUUGAGAUUCUCGUCGGACUCGUUGAAAAUUGAGUCCGGCGGAGUCAUGCACGACCCGAUCACGACGACCUCCUCCGUCUCCGGCUCCUCCCAAGCGUUCCAGAGAUGGAAGCAGAAGCACUCCGGCGCUUCGAUCCACUUAAUUUCCGACGAGUCUCCGGCGUAUUUGUCUAAAACUCCGAAUCUUGCGACUUUCUCCUUGUCGUACACCACCGGAGAGCCGCCGCGGAUCAUCUCCGGGAGCUUGAACACGACUUGCUGGUCCGGUAUAACCACGAAGUUCUCCGUUAUCGCGAAGUCGUGCAUCAUUGUCGGCUGAUCGAGGUUGAUCUCGACGUCCGGCGAUUUUACCCCGUCCGGUGAGAAUCUGAAGUACUUUAAGUAAGGCUUCGAAACGACGUCGUAGCUUAGAGCGAAUAGCUCCCCGGAUUCCGGGUCGACUUUCGGGUGGGCGAUCAUUGUGGAUUCUAACU
This 5397-nucleotide long non-coding RNA is filed under the name Brassica napus (rape). RNAcentral's name for it is "long non-coding RNA (BNAP_LNC002584)". Lineage: Eukaryota; Viridiplantae; Streptophyta; Magnoliopsida; Brassicales; Brassicaceae. The record is from RNAcentral.